This 84-nucleotide transfer RNA is filed under the name Felis catus (domestic cat). It matches the Rfam family "tRNA". Rfam says of the family: Transfer RNA (tRNA) molecules are approximately 80 nucleotides in length. The record is from Rfam by way of RNAcentral. Lineage: Eukaryota; Metazoa; Chordata; Mammalia; Carnivora; Felidae.
UCCUGGGUGGCUCAGUUGGUAAAGUGUCUGAUUUCAACUCAGGUCAUGAUCUCACAGUCUGUGGGUUCAAGCCCGCAUCAGGAU